GUGUAAGGGCUGCGCGGGGCCCUCGCUCUCGGCUAUAGAGGACAGCGGGGAAUAGCAUUGUAAAUGUGGGGCCAGUGGCGCAAUGGAUAACGCGUCUGACUACGGAUCAGAAGAUUUCUUCUUUUCCAGUACAGGUGCUACGUGGGGUGCAGAAAAGCAUGUUUGGCAGCAGCUCCUGGCUUAGAGAGAGUAAACGUGUCUGAAAGUGUCCAAAUCUGUCUGCAUAGCAGGAGGAGAAUGGAAGUGAAGUUUUGUCCUUCAACAGAACCCCAUCAUGCUGCAGUGUAUCCCUCUCAGGAACUGUCUCAAGAGGAACCCAGGCAUGAAAACCUGCCUUUUAGAGAGCAGAGACAUCUCAGUGAGCACAAAUUGAGGAAAGACAUCCAUUUCCUUUGUUGUCUGUCAUCCACACAACUUCAUACUCACUAGCAGUCAAAUUUGAAUCCACAGUCCAAAAGCACAUCUCUGUGCCAUUCCCUGGUGUGGUACGGACUCUAUUUAGGGCCAAAGAUUUAUUUUAUUCCCAAGAUUCACUCCUUCAUAUAUAAACGUCUCUAAACUCCUCUGUUCCUCACUUGUUUUUUCACUGAUUCAGUGGCAACUCUUUUCACUUCUCCUAAAGGAUAGCUCACAAAAUAAAAGCACACACAGACUUUCUUCAAGAGAAGGCAUCAUCUCCUUUCUCCCUCUGUCUCCAUCUCUAAGAUAUUUUUUCUCUCCCACCCACUCAGAAAGAAUUGACUUGCAUUUCUGUGUAAGAGUGUAAUACACCUGAGGGAUAAUGAAAG
Long non-coding RNA from Vidua macroura (Pin-tailed whydah), 788 nucleotides. RefSeq lists it as uncharacterized. Lineage: Eukaryota; Metazoa; Chordata; Aves; Passeriformes; Viduidae. The transcript is spliced from 3 exons. The record is from RefSeq and is a predicted model, not a curated record.